GUCCUGGCCCUAAACGAUGGGUACUAGAUUGUGGGCUGGACAUGGGCCACAGUCGAAGCAAAAGUGAUAAGUACCCCGCCUGGGGAGUAUGGUCGCAAGGCUGAAACUCAAAGGAAUUGACGGGGGCUCACACAAGCGGUGGAGCAUGUGGCUUAAUUCGAGGCUACGCGAAGAACCUUAUCCUGGGCUUGACAUGUGCGAAAGCGGUAGGAAGUACCCUGCGGAAACGUUAGGGGAACGGUAUCCAGUCCGGAACCUACUACAGGUGCUGCAUGGCUGUCGU
Molecule: ribosomal RNA, 283 nt
Filed under: uncultured bacterium
Lineage: Bacteria
Description: partial 16S ribosomal RNA
Rfam family: Bacterial small subunit ribosomal RNA
Source: RNAcentral